GUAUAAGUCUAUGUCCUUUAAUACUUCGUCAUUACUGUUUAUCUUAGGAAUGAUUGUCUAAUUUCAUACCGUACUUUUUAGAUUUUAUUCAUCCAUUGUUGAUUCACCUCAAUGCUUAUCUAUAAUCUUCCAUCGAUAACUUGAAACUUCUUACAUAAUAUAUUGCCACUAGGGCUUAUGUUGCAUCGAGGAAUAUUUGAAGUUACUUUCUUGAUCCACUUAGGGGUGAUACUGUACUUCAAUGACUGUAUUUUACAGCAUCCCAAGGUGAUUCACUUAUGUGGGUAUUUCAAUCUCGUAGAAACCAUGAAAUCCUCUUCAAAUCAUUACUUACUCGAAGAAUUAAACGCCAUCCUUUAUCCAUCACGAUUACACCCUUAUUGUACUAUCAGGGCAACAUUCCACCUUUUUUAAAUGGUAUUAGUCUUUGACUCAUUUGAGUUUAUUCAGACUAUACUGAUCUUUCUUUAACUUUAGAGAAACCAUUAUCUCUUCUUGUUUUCAUGGGUUUAAUCCCGAUGACUUAUCCAUUUAUACUAUUUGCAACCUUUCUUCAACUUGCGUGCACCAUAGAUUUCCUUAUGUCAUUCUGGAAUAUCAAGCGAGAUGUCACAUUAUCUCUAACUCUUCUAUACUGUUUUAACUAAACCUUUCAAUCUGUAGAAACCAUAGACUGGAAGAUAUUCCACUAAUGUUGCCGUCAUCAUUCCUGGAUAUUGAAUCCCCGUGCUAAUAACCUUCUAUCCAAAGUAUGGUCUAUUCACAACUUUCUGCAUUUCUGUAUCUCGUACAUUGUUUACUUUUACCUUACUUAAAAUCUCGUAUCAUAUCCUCUAUUUAUUUUAUAACCUCCCUUCUACCUAGGUGUAAUUUACGUCCAUAACUUAAAGCUCUAUUAUAAUACUCACACCUUUUGUACAUACAUACUCCGGUGGGAGCUUCGUAGUAACUUCCCAUGAGGCUGGUUCUCCUUCUAAUUGGCUUCCUUGUCGAGCCAUUAUAGAUUAUAGUGGUUGUGAUUUCUCUCGAACAUCUAACAUUAAGAGCGAUUCUCUCAUGUUCUCAAGAAAAACUUCUAUAAUUGUUUUCUAGGUCCAAUAAUCAGUCUCCUGAUUUACUUAGGUGUUGUAAUUUUUUCAAUUUCCUCUUCCUCCUGAUCAACCUUUAUAUAUACUUAAGCUAUCUUCCGAUCCAUAGCUCAUGUAUCAGUUAUUACCUUAGCCUUUCAUGGGCAUUAUGGAAUAUCCAUGAUACAAUCUUCGAAAAUAAUUCAAUCCUUUGCCUAUGCCCUGGGCUCAAUUCUUUCUUUUAACUUAUAUCGAAAUCUUCUACGGUUGUAUGAUUAUAAAAAAUUAUGCUACCUAGAUAAUGCUCCAAAUUCUUAAGUGUAUCCAUAACGUACUAACUCUGGAUCAUUGAUCGCAUAAUUCCUUCCGUUCCAUCUUAGCUUUUUUUAAAUGUGUGCAAUUAAUUUUCCUAGUCUUUCUGCCCCUUGUUGCGUCCAUACUUAGCUUAUCUUAGUGCCCACACUCACCAGAGUUUUCAUAGAAUUCAUAUAAUCUUGAAUAUUACUUUGAAAUCUUACUUCACGUUCAUUAUCCACGGUAGAUGCCACUUUCUUUUGAAAUGCUUAUAAUGUUAUUACAAGAUUGUUAUUACACGACCAUUUCCUUUUUAGGUCACUGUGCUUAGGUUGAAGCCUUCUUUCUUAUCUCCUUAGCUAGUAGGUUGAAGCUUUCUUUCUUAUCUCCUUAGCUAGUCUUUUGUUGUAGUAUUUAGGGAGAACCCUUGACUCAUGUAAAGUUGUGAGCUUAUUACAGACCUUUUUGAUGACCUUAUUUAUCUGUAAUCAUCUGUAAUUUCUUACCUCCAUGCCUUUGUGCUUGUAUGGUUGCUUCUGAACUGACUGCCUUCCCAGUGGCACUUUCUUUUAUCACGUAACACUCAUACGGUAUCUUUAGCUAUGCCGACUCUUGCUUGAGUAUAUAUCAAGUAUGAUAAUGAUAUUCUUCAAGGCUUAACUCUCCAUGUUGGGUUGUACUAUGUUUAUCUCACACGAUCGGAUGACUUGUCUCUAACCUCCUGUUUUGCCAUAACUGGGAUCUUCCUGACCAAUUACUAACUAUUUAUUGGCCCUUUCUCAUAUUAGUAUUCCUUGCAAUAUUUCUUGGGUUAUUUCCUUUGUCGUAACUUACGUCUCGCACUAGCUCUUUAUUUAUUAAUAAUAGCUCGGACAGGAACCUUUACUUCCUCUCCUUGACAUUGUGCUUGCAUAAUAUUCUUGAAUCUUAGCGUAUCUGUAAGAUUUGGAUAAGUAUCGUCCCAUUCCUCUUUCAUUUAUCGCAUUAUUCCUCUACCAUUCCUAAGUCACUAUAACUACUUAAUUCUGACUUAAUUCCACAUCAUUCCAUAUUCCCCCUUUAGGGGAUCUACAUAUAGAUGUUUUACCCCUUCAUCUUUGGUGCUGUUUAUCAACAUACAUGAUACUUACUCGCAUUAUGAUAAUCCUUCUGUACCAAGGAUGACAAAUAUCCUUACUUGCGAGGGUGACACUUAAUGUAACUGGCACAUACAGUCCCUUAAGCUUAACUUUGCUGACAUUGCUUGCUUUGGGAAAGCGUCUUCCUGAAUGACCAUUCUCUGAAUUUUUCUUGAAUCUUCUUCUGUUAUCCGUCCUAUUAUGCCGGAAUGCAAUAUAAAAUUCUCAUGAUGCUUACUAUUACCGAAUCACUCAGUCCCUAAUUCAUAUUUAGUUUAUCUUGUUUACUAGUCCAUACUAAUUUUUAUUACUCUGGGGAUUAACCCUCCCCCUGGUAGUCGCGUUGGAGUCAUGGACUAAUUUCUCGAAAUGAGGAUACAACCUUAGAGCCUAUAAUUUUUUGUUAUCUUAAGGCCCAUCACCUUUCAUAUCUUCCUUCAUUUGACUAUAGGUUCUGUAACACUCUACCGUUUUCAUCCAUGUCUCAUACCUUAUUCAUAAUGCUUUCUUAUCUCUCUUCUCAUUACUCUGCUAAUAUUUCUACUUAUCUCUUUUAUUGUGGAAACUUCAAUAUGACAUUCUUUUGCUUUUAGCUUUCCUUUGCUCCAUCCAGUGGCUCUUCAAGUUGCUUAACAUUUUCGCUUUAGUAGGGACGCGAGCCACACUAAGGUAAUAUUUAUCCCUUCAAGGAUUAUAGUGCAUGUCUUUGUAGUACUCAUAUCUAGUUGUACUAUUUUAGGGUGCACCAUCGAGGUGUCUCACAGGGAGAUCCAUUACCACAUUUGUUCUAUCCUUCAAAAACGUCAACUAACUCUACCAUUCCAUCCACUAUUUUGGGUUACUAUAUCCCAAGUUGGAUCCUGCUAACACGUCCUUUUCUUAAACUAUGUCUGGUAGCCCCCAUAGUGCAUAACUGAGAUGGGUACGACCAAUUAUACAUACCUCUGUUACCAUUGAAUAUAACUCAAAAAGAUUAUAUUCCUCUGCCUGAAUUAUAAACACCGUUAGCCUUCAUUAACUGCGCAUUGUACCUUUCUUCAUCUUACUUCUUUUGCUUUUUUGAAACUUGUAUUUAUCUUUUUAAUCUCUCAUUGUCUUUAAUAAUAAAGGUGGGUAGGCAUUCUUGCCUUAAGGCUCCUUAUCAAGAGGCUUACACCUUUCAAUACGCACAUGAUCUGCUGAAGAUCUUAUAUUUACUUAUCAUAAGCAUGAUACAAAGUCAAGUUCUUCUAAUUCAACACUUCCACAGCUAUAUCUCUUAUUGAUCAUCUUUCUUCACGUAGGCAUCGUAUUAUUAUGAAUAAAAAGAGAAGCUCACGACUUGAAUUCUUAUAAGUGGGCUUUACCACACGAUUUAGAGUAAGAAGAAAGAGUGACAAUCCUAAACAAGACUCUACUAGACAUGGCUUGUAGAUUCUACUAGACAUGGCUAGUAGACUCCCUAGGACAGAGCUGCUCUGAUACCAC
This 3946-nucleotide long non-coding RNA is filed under the name Nicotiana benthamiana. RNAcentral's name for it is "long non-coding RNA (NBEN_LNC037985)". The record is from RNAcentral. Lineage: Eukaryota; Viridiplantae; Streptophyta; Magnoliopsida; Solanales; Solanaceae.